GCCCGUUUAGCUCAGUGGUAGAGCGCUUGUCUCGUAAACAAGAAGUCGAGAGUUCAAACCUCCCAACGGGCU
Molecule: non-coding RNA, 72 nt
Organism: Boothiomyces sp. JEL0866
Lineage: Eukaryota; Fungi; Chytridiomycota; Chytridiomycetes; Rhizophydiales; Terramycetaceae
Source: the annotation of a GenBank genome assembly